AGAGUUUGAUUAUGGCUCAGGAUGAACGCUGGCGGCGUGCCUAACACAUGCAAGUCGAGCGAUUUACUUCGGUAAAGAGCGGCGGACGGGUGAGUAACGCGUGGGUAACCUGCCUCAUACACAUGGAUAACAUACCGAAAGGUAUGCUAAUACAGGAUAAUAUAAGAGAUUCACAUGGAUUUCUUAUCAAAGCUCCGGCGGUAUGAGAUGGACCCGCGUCUGAUUAGCUAGUUGGUAAGGUAAUGGCUUACCAAGGCGACGAUCAGUAGCCGACCUGAGAGGGUGAUCGGCCACAUUGGAACUGAGACACGGUCCAAACUCCUACGGGAGGCAGCAGUGGGGAAUAUUGCACAAUGGGCGAAAGCCUGAUGCCAGCAACGCCGCGUGAGUGAUGAAGGCCUUCGGGUCGUAAAACUCUGUCCUCAAGGAAGAUAAUGACGGUACUUGAGGAGGAAGCCCCGGCUAACUACGUGCCAGCAGCCGC
RNAcentral lists this ribosomal RNA (484 nucleotides) under uncultured bacterium. RNAcentral's name for it is "bacterial SSU rRNA". It matches the Rfam family "Bacterial small subunit ribosomal RNA", at positions 8 to 518 of the family's 1533-position model. The record is from RNAcentral.